UUAAGUGAAUAAGGGCGCACGGUGGAUGCCUUGGCACUAGGAGCCGAUGAAGGACGGGACUAACACCGAUAUGCUUCGGGGAGCUGUAAGUAAGCUUUGAUCCGGAGAUUUCCGAAUGGGGGAACCCAGCAUCUUUUAUAGGAUGUUACUUUUCAGUGAAUACAUAGCUGAUUAGAGGUAGACGCAGAGAACUGAAACAUCUAAGUACCUGCAGGAAGAGAAAGAAAAAUCGAUUCCCUGAGUAGCGGCGAGCGAAACGGGAAAAGCCCAAACCAAGAGGCUUGCCUCUUGGGGUUGUAGGACUCCGAUACGGUAGUCCAGUGAGAUAGUCGAAGGACCUGGAAAGGUCUGCUAGAAAGGGUAAAAGCCCCGUAGACAAAAUUUGACUGGCACCUAGGAGGAUCCUGAGUACGGCGGAACACGAGGAAUUCCGUCGGAAUCCGGGAGGACCAUCUCCCAAGGCUAAAUACUCCCUAGUGACCGAUAGUGAACCAGUACCGUGAGGGAAAGGUGAAAAGCACCCCGGAAGGGGAGUGAAAUAGAUCCUGAAACCGUGUGCCUACAACAAGUUAGAGCCCGUUAAUGGGUGAUAGCGUGCCUUUUGUAGAAUGAACCGGCGAGUUACGAUUACUUGCGAGGUUAAGUUGAAAAGACGGAGCCGCAGCGAAAGCGAGUCUGAAUAGGGCGAAUGAGUAAGUGGUCGUAGACCCGAAACCAUGUGAUCUACCCAUGUCCAGGUUGAAGGUGCGGUAAAACGCACUGGAGGACCGAACCCACGUACGUUGAAAAGUGCGGGGAUGAGGUGUGGGUAGCGGAGAAAUUCCAAACGAACUUGGAGAUAGCUGGUUCUCUCCGAAAUAGCUUUAGGGCUAGCCUCAGAGUAAGAAUGAUGGAGGUAGAGCACUGUUUGGACUAGGGGCCCAUCUCGGGUUACCGAAUUCAGAUAAACUCCGAAUGCCAUCCAUUCAUCUCUGGGAGUCAGACUGUGAGUGAUAAGAUCCAUAGUCGAAAGGGAAACAGCCCAGACCACCAGCUAAGGUCCCCAAAUAACUAUUAAGUGGAAAAGGAUGUGGGGUUGCACAGACAACUAGGAUGUUGGCUUAGAAGCAGCCACCAUUUAAAGAGUGCGUAAUAGCUCACUAGUCGAGUGACCCUGCGCCGAAAAUGUACCGGGGCUAAAUAGUUUACCGAAGCUGUGGAACACACCAAUAGGUGUGUUGGUAGGAGAGCGUUCUAAGGGCGUUGAAGGUAGAUCGUGAGGACUGCUGGAGCGCUUAGAAGUGAGAAUGCCGGUAUGAGUAGCGAAAGACAGGUGAGAAUCCUGUCCACCGAAUGACUAAGGUUUCCUGGGGAAGGCUCGUCCGCCCAGGGUUAGUCGGGACCUAAGCCGAGGCCGAAAGGCGUAGGCGAUGGAUAACAGGUUGAUAUUCCUGUACCCGUUGUUUUUGUUUGAGCAAUGGAGGGACGCAGGAGGCUAAGGAAUCAGACGAUUGGAAAUGUCUGUCCAAGCAAUAAGUCUUGAUGUGAGUCAAAUGCUUACGUCUUUAAGGACAAGUUGUGAUGGGGAGGGAAAUAAUAGUACCGAAGUUCCUGAUGUCACACUGCCGAGAAAAGCUUCUAGUGAGAAAACAAUGGCCCGUACCGCAAACCGACACAGGUAGUCGAGGAGAGAAUCCUAAGGUGAGCGAGAGAACUCUCGUUAAGGAACUCGGCAAAAUGACCCCGUAACUUCGGGAGAAGGGGUGCUGAUCUAACGAUCAGCCGCAGUGAAUAGGCCCAAGCGACUGUUUAUCAAAAACACAGGUCUCUGCAAAAUCGAAAGAUGACGUAUAGGGGCUGACGCCUGCCCGGUGCUGGAAGGUUAAGAGGAGUGCUUAGCGUAAGCGAAGGUACGAAUUGAAGCCCCAGUAAACGGCGGCCGUAACUAUAACGGUCCUAAGGUAGCGAAAUUCCUUGUCGGGUAAGUUCCGAUCCGCACGAAAGGCGUAACGAUUUGGGCACUGUCUCAACGAGAGACUCGGUGAAAUUUUAGUACCUGUGAAGAUGCAGGUUACCCGCGACAGGACGGAAAGACCCCAUGGAGCUUUACUGUAGUUUGAUAUUGAGUGUUUGUACCACAUGUACAGGAUAGGUAGGAGCCGUAGAAGUCGGGACGCUAGUUUCGACAGAGGCGCUGGUGGGAUACUACCCUUGUGUUAUGACCACUCUAACCCGCACCACUGAUCGUGGUGGGAGACAGUGUCAGAUGGGCAGUUUGACUGGGGCGGUCGCCUCCUAAAGAGUAACGGAGGCGCCCAA
RNAcentral lists this ribosomal RNA (2298 nucleotides) under Enterococcus raffinosus ATCC 49464. RNAcentral's name for it is "bacterial LSU rRNA". It matches the Rfam family "Bacterial large subunit ribosomal RNA", at positions 1 to 2313 of the family's 2925-position model. Lineage: Bacteria; Bacillati; Bacillota; Bacilli; Lactobacillales; Enterococcaceae. The record is from RNAcentral.